UGGGGAAUAUUGCACAAUGGGCGCAAGCCUGAUGCAGCCAUGCCGCGUGUGUGAAGAAGGCCUUCGGGUUGUAAAGUACUUUCAGUCGGGAGGAAGGUGUCAAGGUUAAUAACCUUAUCAAUUGACGUUACCGACAGAAGAAGCACCGGCUAACUCCGUGCCAGCAGCCGCGGUAAUACGGAGGGUGCAAGCGUUAAUCGGAAUUACUGGGCGUAAAGCGCACGCAGGCGGUUGAUUGAGUCAGAUGUGAAAUCCCCGGGCUUAACCCGGGAAUUGCAUCUGAUACUGGUCAGCUAGAGUCUUGUAGAGGGGGGUAGAAUUCCAUGUGUAGCGGUGAAAUGCGUAGAGAUGUGGAGGAAUACCGGUGGCGAAGGCGGCCCCCUGGACAAAGACUGACGCUCAGGUGCGAAAGCGUGGGGAGCAAACAGG
Molecule: ribosomal RNA, 429 nt
Filed under: Chloroflexota bacterium
Lineage: Bacteria; Bacillati; Chloroflexota
Description: Chloroflexi bacterium partial 16S ribosomal RNA
Rfam family: Bacterial small subunit ribosomal RNA
Source: RNAcentral